GGGUCCGUGGACCCCGGCCAAAAGAAAUUGACCAAACAUAACCGCGACUCGCGGAUUUGGAAGCUUCGCGUACCAAUAUAGUACAGAAACUGUAUCAAUAAU
This 102-nucleotide small RNA is filed under the name Trypanosoma cruzi. Its description in RNAcentral is "spliced leader mini-exon transcript". The record is from RNAcentral. Lineage: Eukaryota; Euglenozoa; Kinetoplastea; Trypanosomatida; Trypanosomatidae.